This 253-nucleotide unclassified non-coding RNA is filed under the name plant metagenome. Its description in RNAcentral is "partial contains small subunit ribosomal RNA, internal transcribed spacer 1, and 5.8S ribosomal RNA". The stretch from base 1 to 51 matches the Rfam family "Eukaryotic small subunit ribosomal RNA", at positions 1778 to 1831 of the family's 1831-position model. The record is from RNAcentral.
GGAAGUAAAAGUAACAAGGUUUCCGUAGGUGAACCUGCGGAGGGAUCAUUAAUGUGUUUGGGCCUCACGGCUCUUCAUUCCGACGCUGUGCGCCUUCGGGCUGCACGCUGAGGGAGCAUAUAUCCACCCCUGUGCACACACACGGUGGCGAGCUGGGUAACGGCUCGCCGCUGAUCUUUACACACGUCUAAAAGUCAUUGUAUGUUUAUUUGAGAUAAAAACACAACUUUCAGCAACGGAUCUCUUGGCUCUC